This is a non-coding RNA of Macaca mulatta (Rhesus monkey), 970 nucleotides long. Lineage: Eukaryota; Metazoa; Chordata; Mammalia; Primates; Cercopithecidae. The record is from RefSeq and is a predicted model, not a curated record.
AUGAUUCUACCACACUUCCUAAUUCCACCUAGAGAAUUCUCAAGCAAUCCACAGAAUUUUAUUCAAAUCGCCCUUAUGCUCACAAUGCUAACUGAUGUCUCAGCAGAACACUGGAACUCAGUUGCUGCUCAGGUUUCCUUUGGAUCUGACGUCCUCCACUGGUACCAGACCUGGGAACCAGACCUUCACCUCCCUAAUCAGUGAGGGACUAUCACAGAACUAUCCACACUGAAGACAAUUCAUAACACGGUCAACAGGAAAACUACUUCCCUGAAAUUGUGAGCAGCUGGAGUUCUGGUUUUAGAUGAGGAAGCAAAGGCUUGAUGAAGAUGGCAAGUAACUUGUCUAAGGUGAUAGAUCAUGAAAAAAUGGAGUUGAGAGUUGAGUGGAGUUUGAACUGAUGUCUGUCUCAUUCCAAAGAGCAGCAGGGAGAAAUAGGAACCUUCCUCAUCCCACUUAGGAAAAGUGCAACCCGCUGGAGAGAGACAGAGGGACUCGGAGGAAGGAGAGAGAGAAGAGGUUGGAAUGAAAGAAAAUGGAAAAACUGUCAGGCUGAACCUUCACACUUAAGAUCAGGGUUCAAACUAGAAGACGAUAAAAACAAAAGAGAAAAGAAAGCCAACACCAUCCCAGGAGUAACACAUCCUCUUAGAUCACUGCAAAAGCCUACAGAAGUCAUUAUGGAUUAACCUUGCCUGAUAUUUCCAGUGAAUUCUCCAUAGCAUCAAGCACAAAUGAUCGCCUAGGACAGUGGCGGCUUCUGAGAACGCACAGGAAAGUGACCAGGGAAAGAAUGAUUCCAUCUCCAGGAAUCCCUGGUGCUCUUCAGAACCCAGACAGGCCCCUGCUGGGUCAUGGUAACUAAGAAACUAGAAGCAGAUACGGUGGUCCCUAUGCUGGCAACCUCAGCUGAAGAGGAACAACUCUCUCUAUAAUCAAGUUACCAAGAAUAAAGAGCAAGUGCAAAUUA